This is a long non-coding RNA of Formica exsecta, 293 nucleotides long. RefSeq lists it as uncharacterized. The transcript has 2 exons. The record is from RefSeq and is a predicted model, not a curated record. NCBI's taxonomy places the organism in Eukaryota, Metazoa, Arthropoda, Insecta, Hymenoptera, Formicidae.
CCAAAUCUGCGUGCUCUUUAUUCACUAAUACAGAACAGGAACAGAUUACGACACAAUGCAAUGAUGUGUAGUGAUGUGAAUCAGUUAACAACUAUCGUGAUCAAGCCAUCUGACAAUCGGAUUAGGGUCAUGUAAGAAUGUAGAACUAUUGAGAUCAAUGAUGUCAUCGUUCGUUUCUAAAAUUCGUAUUACAAGACAAAAUGUUAUUCCAUUAACUAGCUUUAUAAAGAAAUAUCAUAUAGAGUGUAUAUAAUAGCCUUUUAUUCUGCAAAUAAAUUAUGAGAGAUAAGAAA